RNAcentral lists this transfer RNA (77 nucleotides) under Acidobacteriota bacterium. Its description in RNAcentral is "Acidobacteria bacterium tRNA-Asp". It matches the Rfam family "tRNA". From Rfam's summary of the family: Transfer RNA (tRNA) molecules are approximately 80 nucleotides in length. Lineage: Bacteria; Pseudomonadati; Acidobacteriota. The record is from RNAcentral.
GGUUCCUUAGUGAAAGAGGAGUAUCACGCCACCCUGUCACGGUGGUAUUAUGGGUUCGAUUCCCAUAGGAACCGCCA